GCGAAUAGCCACCCUCGUCGGGAUGUUC
RNAcentral lists this small RNA (28 nucleotides) under Bombyx mori (domestic silkworm). RNAcentral's name for it is "ovarian small RNA-16773". The record is from RNAcentral. Lineage: Eukaryota; Metazoa; Arthropoda; Insecta; Lepidoptera; Bombycidae.